Molecule: unclassified non-coding RNA, 155 nt
Filed under: uncultured Cephalothecaceae
Lineage: Eukaryota; Fungi; Ascomycota; Sordariomycetes; Sordariales
Description: sequence contains ITS1
Source: RNAcentral
CGAGAGUGAAAACUCCCUAAACCAACUGUUUAUCUACCUGUUUGUUGCUUCGGCAGGCGGUUCCCUCAGGGGGGCUGUACCUGAAAAGGCGCCUGCCGAAGGCACCCAGAACUCUUGCUGUCAGUUGUCAUCUGAGCUAAAACAAAAAUGAAUCA